This 43651-nucleotide long non-coding RNA is filed under the name Ananas comosus (pineapple). RNAcentral describes it as "long non-coding RNA (ACOM_LNC028771)". Lineage: Eukaryota; Viridiplantae; Streptophyta; Magnoliopsida; Poales; Bromeliaceae. The record is from RNAcentral.
AAAAGGGGACCGACCGUCCCUAGAGCAAGUGGCAAAGGGCUUGGUGGUUGGUAUCCGAGACCGAAGUUCGAAUCCUAGUUGAUUCACAUUUCCAGCUAAGUUUAUUUCUAAAUGAAAUAAACGAAGCGGGUAGCGUGCUACCUAUCUCUCUAAAAAAAAAAAAAAAAAAAAGGGGAUAAAUUUCAAAUACCACCCUGUGGUUUCGCACUUUAUCACUUUAGUAUCAUGUGGUUUAAAGUGUAUCAAGUUAGUGUUAUGUGGUUUCAUUUUUAUCUUUUCGUCAGCUUUUUCGUUAAUAUUUCGUUAAGUUAUAUACAAAAAACUUCAGAUACCCCACCUAGGUUUAUUGAAUAUUCACUUGAAUACCCUUUAGUUUUAACUUUGUCACUGAUUUAAUGAAGAAAACUAGUGGAAUCGAUAAUAAAAAGAUAAAAAUAAAACCACAGGACACUAAAUUGAUACACUUUAAACCACAGAGUAUUAAAGUGAGAAAGUGUGAAACCAUAGAAGUGGUAUUUGAAGUUUUUCCAAAAAAAAAAAAAAAAAAAAAAAAACUUUUCCAGCAAGAUGGAUUCUUCAUGGGGAUCCAAACAUAUCUCCUAAUUUCUGAUGGAAUUUUCUGAAGUCCAUGGAAAGUGUAAAUUAGAUUCGAUGAAAUGGUUGAAAUUUUUUAAGUAUGAUAAUUAAUGGUCAGUAUAUUGUUCUUCUUAGAUUCUAUGGAAAGGUUGUGAUGGUCUCAGAGGGCCAAUACUCUCUGGAACUGGGUUUUACAUCAGGAGGGAUGCUUUAUAUGGAGCCAAACCAACUCACACAUCAACAAAAGAAGGUAACUUAGAUUCUAUAUUAAGGCUCCUCGCACUUUAGCUCGUCUCAGUUACCUCGCUGCGUUAAAAAUUGCAUUAAUUUACCGACCGUCUCUAGCGCGAGUAGCAAAGGUCUUGGUGGUUGGUACCUGAGGUCUCCAGUAGUUGAUUCAUAUUUCCAGCUAAGUUUAUUUCAAAAUGAAAUAAACGAAGCAGAUAGCAUGCUGCCUAUCUCUCAAAAAAAAAAAAGCAUUAAUUUUCCCCUCCUAGACUUUGCCAUAUCCCAAAUAGCUUUAGCCAUUGGCAAAAAUAAGUUUUUAGAUAACAAGUAAUGCAAUAGAAUCAUAUGAAUUGAUAUACAAUAGCUCAGUAAGUUAUCACUUUUAAUAGUAUUAGCAGAAUAGGAGAUCUCUUUUAUCUGAACUUUUUUUUUCUUUUUUUUUUUUUGAGUUGCAAAUUAGACAGGCGUUGAUAUAUAUGGAACAAUACGAUAUGCAAACUCAUUUUAGCGUAGUUUUACAAUCUGGAUCUAUUUGAAUAGCGGCAAAGUACAUACUGACAACUGACGUAAUUUUUAAUACAGAAGUGUGAUUGAGAGCGCGACGUACUAUUUUACCCAAGUUUAUUCUUAUGUAGCUCUAAUUAGAUAAUGAUGUAUCAUAUCAUCUGCAAUUAUUAUUUGUACUAAAGUUUGGUUUGCAUAUAUUGGUAGAGUUCAAAUCUAUGGAGAUCUCAGAAUUGAAACAAAGGUUUGGCACCUCAAAUGAGUUCACAGCUUCAUUGAGGGAGAAAAGCAAAAGUGAGCUCAGUAAAAGGAGUGGAGCAUCACACACUGUUCCACAAGAGGCAAUGCGUUUGGCUUCAUGUGCAUAUGAGAGUGAUACUCAAUGGGGUGAACAGGUAAAGUUUCAAACAAUGUGAACCCAAACACAAACACAUCUACAUGAUUUUGGCUCGAACAGAGCAGAAAUUUUACUAAAGUGCUAUUUGAGAAGAGAUGUUUGAAAAGGCAUUAAAAUUUUUGUUACUGUAAUGUCUCUAAUAGUUUCUAGCUGCGACAGAUAUAGAAGAUCAAAUUAGAUCCUUUGAUUUUGGAGUGCCAGCUUUCGGGGGCUGAAAAGCUCAUCUUAACUUCCUAUCGUACAAAAAAAAGCUCCAAAAUUUCGUAGUUGCCAAAAGCUUGACUAGCGGUGGCUUCAACCAAAAGCAAAAGUACAUCAAACAAAAGUUUUGUAGAAAGCAUAUCUUAUGCUUAUAGUGUGGGAUGCGUCUUGCAUAGCGCCACGUGGCUGAUCAGAGACAUGCACGUAAAUAAGUAAGGUUUUCACAUUUUUCUUCGUUAAAUGUUGUAGCAAUCCCUACCGCCCGAAAGAUAUUCAUAGGAGGGGUGAAAUAAGCUCUUCAGACAUGGCUGUAGCUGAAAGUAAAAGCAAAAGCCAGGGCGACCAGUCUACUGACUCUUCGUUUCUCUCUCUUCAGGUAGGGUUCUUGUACGGCUCCCUCGUCGAGGACUACUUCACAGGCUUCCACCUCCACUGUCGCGGCUGGACCUCCGCAUACUGCGAUCCGCCACUGAGGCCGGCGUUCUUGGGUAACGCGCCGACCAACUUCCACGACACGCUCGUGCAGCACAAGCGGUGGAUGACCGGCCUACUCGAAGUCGGUGUCUCGAAGUAUUGCCCCCUUAUUUUCGGAAUGCGAAUAAGCUCUUGGCGGUCGACACUUCAAAGCAUGUGCUAUGCUUGGCUUGCGUUUGAUGCACUAUAUGCUUUCCCUUUAUUGGUAUAUGGCAUUGUUCCACAGCUGUGCUUCUCCAAAGGGGUCGCCGUGUUCCCCGCGGUACGUGUGAGGACGUUUUACUUGUGUUUGAUUUCACGUAAAACUAUCGAAAACUUCUUUCGGACGUAAAACUAUCCACUUACAGGCCUCGAGCUCGCAGUUCCCCAUCUUCGCGAUAGUUUACGCAUCAGCGAUGCUUCAACAUCUAGCGGAAGUGAUCGUCUCCCGAAGAACCCUCGCGACGUGGUGGAAUGAGCAGAGAUUCUGGAUGCUGAUUGCAGUCACGAGCUAUCUCUUCGCCUGCGUGGACGUUUUCGCGAAGCUGAUCGGCGCGAGGGCCAUCGACUUCGACGUCACCAACAAGGCGGUUGACGAGUCCCAGAUCAAGAUGUUCGAUGACGGUGUGUUCGACUUCAGAGGGGCGUCGGUGAUCCUCCUCCCUGCGACGACGCUCAGCUUGCUCAACGCGGGGGCGCUAGUGCGCGGAGGAUGGAGAAUGGUUGCAGAGAGCAAGUUCGACGAGCUGUUCGGGCAGCUCUUCCUCAUGUGCUUCGUUUUCGCAAUCAGCUACCCGUUGCUAGAAGGGAUCUUCGUCCGGAGAGAUGCCGGACGAGUCCCGACGCGCAUCACGAUGUGGUCGAUCGCGCUGAGUGCCGCACUGCUGUAUUUGCUUGGUUGAGGGGAGCAUUUUGAUCAGAUUAAAUUCAUAAAAAUUUGGUUUUUACAAAAAAGUAAUCUUCUGUUCUUGAAGUAAUGUAACGUAUAUGGGUUUUUCGUAGCCCCCACAAAACUUCUUUUUUACGGCCCCAGCAAAUUUAUAUUUGCAGAAUUGCCCUUCUCUUUACCAUGCGAGCAUCAUGUUGGACAGAAAAGAGCCAUGUUCAGAUAAACAAGAUGAUCCAAUCACCGUAUUUAAGCAUCAUGUUGGACAGGAAAGAGUCAUAUUAAGUUGAACACGAUGAUCCAGCCACUUUGUUUAAAUACAAUGAUUAGGUUAAUGUGUUCAUAUCCACACGCAAGUCCGUACAACAAUAAUCCAAUCAGUAUUUAAACGAUGUGACUUGAUUACCGUGCUCAACUUAAAAACACCCACAAUAGUCCACUCCUAUCCAACGUGGCGCUCCCGUCGUAGGGAGAUGAUCAUUUCUGCAAAUAUAAAUUUGUUGGGACCAAUGGACCAUUUGUCAAAAAAAAAAGUUUUGAGAGGACUAAAUGCAAAAAAAGCCCUAAAGCUAUACGACAAAGACCCCCUAAACUUUAGCAAUUUUGUAAACAGACAUCCGAACUUCUAAUUUUGGCAAUUAGACCCACUAAAUUUUAAUUUUGCAAAAAGUUCUUUCGAGUUUUGAGCACAUGUACAGGGGUAGGAGGUUCAGCUCAGGGUUUUGAGAUAAUCCAAGGACAAUUCUUCGCAUUUAAACAUCAACUCAUUCUCAAACCUUUGGAGCACGAACCGCUCCGCCGGAGCAAUGAGAGUCGUGACGCUGUACGCUUCCUUGGAGAAUGGCACUCGCCCCGUCCGUCCGGCGCGGUGGAGGUAGCCGACGGCACUUUUGGGGAGAUCGAAGUUGUAUAUGUGAGUGGUUUGCGGUAGGUCAAACCCUCGGCUUGCUAUGUCUGUCGAAACUAGUAAGCAACCUUGUUGUUGCCUCAUUUCCUAAAGAAGAACAAUAAGUACUCGGAUAGUAGAAUCAAAUUCAUAUAUGAUCAUAUGACAUGGUACGUAAUCGCAGAACUGCGGUGUAGAACUAAUUGUGAAUGAUUGUUGGGGUAUAAAAGAAAAGGAAAAAUUUUCAAAUCACUUCUAAACAUCCAAGGUUCCAGCUCUCUAGUUUGGUUUCGGUAUCAGUGUAGGUUUCCAGAAUCUGGGCUUUCUAGUUUCAGCGUUCUUGGUAGUUUCUGCUUCCGGUUUCUAAUGCUGGAAUGAAAGUUCCGAAGUAUAUGCGACAUGAGAACUUAAACCAAAAAUAAUCUAUGAAAACUUUUCGUUGCGAGCGCAAUAAUAAUAUGUAAUUGGAGUAGCAAUUAAGAACACUUACAGAGAAUGAGGUAGCCCGAGCAUUGAAAUUCAUAUCUUCUUCAAGGAGAAGGACCUCCAGGGGUCCGCUGUAUGAAGCUUUAAGGAAUUCGAUAACAAGGGUUGUCGACGGAAGCUCUCCGGCUCUUUUCGAUUUCUCUGACUAGCAAGAAUUAAUAUACUGUAAAGUCAAACAAGAGAACACGGAAGCUACAGAUCAUUUAUGGUGAAAAAACUAGUUUAUUCAUCAUUUACGAAGGGGAUAAAGUAUGCCAGUAGUCCCAAAAUACUCGAGUUGCUAUUAUUCCCAAUUUGUCUCAAUGAUGCCUCAAAUUCUAUGCCGAGAUUUGAUUCCAAUAGUAGUUUGAGCUAUUGAAUAUAUGAUCAGGGGCCGAAUGCAACUCGACGAACUCGAAUCGCCUAACAAAGGAAUUAAUUCAAGUCCUGAGUACUAGAUGAACUUGAAAAUAUCCAUGAUAAUCGCCAUUUGACAAGAAAUUUUCACUCCGAGCUACAUUAUAAUCCAUCUCGCACCAUGAAAACAUUCAGGAGAAUAUCCUAUCAGGCCGCCUAAUUGAUAGAUGCAGAUUUCUUUGAUAAUGGGAGUUAAAAGAGUUUUUGUUCAUGACAAUCAGUGUGGAAUUCAAGUAAGAUGCCGCAUCAUUUCCUUCAUAAGACUAGCACUGCCCAAUUUUGAGCCCACUGCAUGCUUGACAGAAAACCAAAUUUAAGAUUACUUGAUUCAAUCUUCAAGCAUGCUGUCAAAAGUAAUUAUUUGUUGAAGAGUGGAAAGUAUGUUCAGAAAACUAAAAUAAAUAAAGGAGGAUACCCCAAGUUUACUAAUAUAACCCCAACUGGCCAUGCAACGACACAAGUUGACGUGAAUUUCUAAAUGUCACGACUUUUCAAUUCAAAGUUCAACAAUUCCGCAGUUCACAAUAUGCAGAAAAGAAUGUAUCACAGAAUUAAGUGAAGCAUGAAUCCAAAAAAUUACACGAAAAGCUAAUUGAUAAUAAGACAACAAGUUAAUGUACAUUAAGGGGUAUUAUUAUAUUUCAAUCAAAAGGGCAUAAAAAUAACAAAAAGUUAAGAGCCACAAACCUGAUCAGCAACAAAUAUUAUUCCAGAUUUAGGAGCAUCUCUCUCAAGCAAGCAGAGCAGAGUACGCAAUCUGUCCUUUUUACUGCAUAUCUGGAACGAUAAACAGAUCAACACAUCCAAAACCACAUCAAACCUUUCGAAUAAUGAAAGAAUGGUUUUAUGAAACUUUGUAUUCUAAAUGUAUUAGAAACAACUUUAUCAGAUGCUAAUGCGAUUCAAAACAAAAUGCGUGUUGAAAGAGAAAACAAAAGUAAAUAACCAGAGAGAUCAAUAUCGAUGGUUUCCCUUUAAAGUUUAAAGCAGGUGCUCACCACAUAUUUGUGAUGUAGGUGUGAAGGCAUAGGUUCAACAGGAUUGACAUGGACAUGAACCACAUCAUUCUGCAUCAAGAAGACAAUCAGCAUACAGAAAGACCAAGGUAUUUCUACCACUAACGUAUGUUAACAACGCAACAUAAUGAAGCCAUGGUGAAGUGAGAGUAGAAAUUGGAAAAACCUUCGUCCACUUCUGUUGCGCGCAGUCAUAUAGAAAAUGGUUGUGUUGGGGAAUUGAUGCGCUAGCAAAAACAGUUUGCCGACUUUCAAUUGUUGAAUAGGCAGUCAAGAGCUUGCGGAGAGAGUACCCUUGCUUCGAUGAACUGAAUAUAAAAUCCGCCUAUCAAGAGAAGAAGUCCUCGCAAAAUUAAUCUUUUGUGAGAAAAAAUUAGGUAUUGGGUAGGAAACACCAAGUAAAUGUACAGAUGACGCCCUCUCCCAGCAACUCUCAAUUAUAAUCAUUGCAUUGACUGCCAAUACUAAUAUUACUUCAACUUUCACUAAAAUAGCAUAUCACACAAACUGAUUGUCUCUAGCACUAAUUAGGAGGCUAACCGACACACGCUCAAAUCCCUUCUAAUCACAAUUACAUUUUAAAAGCUUGAUAAUGUGAUGUUAAUGUAUAUAUGGUAAUAGAAAUCACCUCAUCAAUAACCAAUACCCGCAUAGCUUCCAGCUUCAAAAGAUGUUUCUCAAGCAUUUGACACAAGCUCCCUAUAGUCGCUACAACUAUCUCAGGGGGCUCUGCCUGAAAAGAAAUUAACAAUAUACAAUAUUAGUACAGAUAUGAACCUUCCACAUGGAAUAAAGAUAACUUUUAUGAGCAUGCGAGUUACAACAUUAGUUAAAAACUAUGAUGACGAUACAAAUUUACAUGUAUGGGGAAAAAAAAAGAGCAUUAUCAGUAUUAAGUGAAGUGGAAAAUCGCAGUAGCAUUUUUUUACCACAUAUCAAAUAAUUCACCAUCCGAAGUUUGAUAAAGUUCAUGCAAAUCGGGUAACUAAUAUAGCCAGAGGCAAAAAGAUGCAAGGUUUCCUCUCUUACUCAACAAUACGCCAGCAGAAUAUUAUAAUGGAUAAAACACAGAAUAGUUAACAAUAAUAAAAAAGUAACAAAAGCAAUUACAAAGGAGAAAGGGAAGAACAGUGAUAGAAGACUAGAAUGAAGGGAAAAAAAGAUAGAAGGCAGGAAGAAAAGGGUCUAAUCCAUCUCUUACUCAUUUAAAUUUAAAAUUAUUAUUAUAGCCUAUAAUUGGAUAGUGAAUUGCUCAUCAGUCUUCUGUCAUACUAGGCCUGAAAAGUCCUCCGAGUAUCAUAGAAGAACAAACUAUAAUACCAAAAUAUAACAUCUUUAAUCUUCAGUUUGAUUACUUCUUCAAAAUUCUGUCCUUCAGAUUGAUUUUGGUAUGGGCAGAUCCUCGACUACUAACGAAAAGAUAAAGUGGUACAAUUAAAUCUCUUAUGGAGAUAAACAAUACCUUUAACCAGCUCUUUUGCCUCUUUAACAUUCCACCAUCUAGCAAAGCCAUAACAGUGCAAGCCCUCUGCAUCUCUUCCAUUCCUGCUGGCUUCGCGGCCAGCAUUCUAGCAACUUUCGCAACCUUAAAGGGGCAACAAGAAAUGAAAAGAUCAAAAUACAAAAGUUUUAUCAAGACAAUUGUAGUUACAACAUAAAUAGCAGUAAUCUGCAAGGCACAUACUUGCAUACCAAGCUCCCUAGUUGGGACAACUAUCAGUGCUUGUACAGCCGACCUUCUAAAGUCUAAAGCUGAAAAUAUUAGCAGUAAGUAUGCCAACGUUUUGCCUGAACCUGUCUAGAAACACAUUAUAGUGCAACAUCAGCAAAUUUUAAAAAUAGAGGGAUAAAAGCUAAAUCUAAAUUAUUAGAAUCUACGUGAUACAAAGCAUCAUAAAUGUCAUACGGGAAUGGAUCAGCUCAAACGGAAAUAUGUGAUAUGAGCAUCUCGCCAAACUUAGACGCUUAGAAAGAAAUAUCAAUUUCAGUCAGUGAUUCGGUUCUAUAUAUUUUGUCCUUGAUUUGGUUUCCUUUCUAAAUUUCAGACUUUUCUUAUUAUACCAAGUUUCUUCAACUAUACAUAGAAGCUCUUCUACAAGCAUGCUAAAAUAGAAUUAUUUGAUAGAGAUAGAAUAACGAACAAAAUAAAUAUCUUUGUACUUGGAGAAAGAGUAAAGUUUUCGAACUUUUGAAUGUGAUAUGUUAUAACUUUUGAAAUUUUCGGCAGUAAUCUGUAAAACGUUAAAGUUCAGGGGUCCGAGAUAUACGAAUACGAAUACGAAUACAAGGUACGUUGAAGCUGAGAAUCGCUCAUGAGUUGCAUGAACAUAAACAGCAACACAUACUGCUCAUGCAAGUCCUUCUGUUGCUGCAAAAAGGAUCUUUUCGCACUAAAUUGUUAAACAGGUAUGCCGACAAUAUAACUGGCCAUAAACAUGUGUUGAGCAUUCACAAGAGCCUUCUCGAACUUGACUAUCGCAAAAGCCAAUGCUUACAUGGAAAUCAAUGACCAGAUAUUGAAUGAAUAUACUUUCAGAUGCCAUAUAGAAUUAAGAUGUUAAUACAAGACAAUUGCUUGAAACAAAAUUUUUACCUGAGCAUGAAGUACACAGUCCCUUCCGGACAAUAGAAUUGGUAAGGCUUGUUCUUGAACGUCAGUAGGCAUGACAUAUCCAAUCUCUUCAGCCCUGGACAACAGAAAAUAAGUCGAAUAUUCUCAUGAUCAAAAGUUAAUAACAAGAAAACUACUUUCAAGGGUAAAGCUUACAGCAUGAAAGGCAAACAAAACUGAUGGCCUUUUAUACUUAAUAUACACCAUAACGUGCAUUUUGGCACGAUUAAUGCUAUACAAUCAUCAUUGCUAAAUAUUAUAAUCAUUUGAUCAUCGCCCGACAGUUCGGAGAGGUAGAUGCAGUUGGAUUUACAGUAGUUACAUUUGCAUCUAGUCUAAAGAGUGCCGCAACCAUAAUAUAUACAUUUAUUUAGAACUAGCCGUUGGAAGUUGCAUUUGUGAAUCUUGUUACUUCAUAUCUGGGAUGGUUAAAUUACCUCCAAAAAAGAGAAAUUUCUCCCUUUUUUUUUUCCUUUUUUCUUUCUUAUAUACAAGAGAUGAGUACCAGUUGUUCCAUUUCCACCUAAGUCCGAGUUCAACUUGGAUCAAAAUGCAGCAUUUGGGCCUUCAUUUGCAAUUUAAACCAUACUAUUUACGCGCAACAGCAACAUCAUCAUCAACAACAACAAUAACAAACAAACAAACAAAAUAAAAACUUUUGAGUUUGCAUGCAAUUGCAAAUUCGACUAAAACUGCAGAUAACUAAGCAGUUUCAAAAAACUAUAAGUUUGUUUGCUCCGUUUAUUCCAUUUAUCUGAUUCUUAAUUCAUCAUCCACACGUUCCCAAGCAUAAAACAAUAGGGGAAAUUAAGAGGAGGAGGGGGGAGGGGGUAGGGGGGGCACGGAGGAGAGGAACCUCUUUAGAACGUGAUCGGGAACGCGCCCAUCGCAGACCUCGCGGAGCGUCCGAGCUCGACACCGACCACCCUCUUCGUCGACGCGGACGCCGCGGGAAAUGGUGGAGAGGGCCCUUCUCCGGAGCCUAGGGUUUGGGCAAAGGGAGGAGGAGGAGGAGGAGAAGGGGGUGAGGAGGAGGACGUGGGUGGGAGGGGUUGCGGAGGAGGCCACGGCCAUGGCCAUCGCCAUGGACGAAGACGAAGAAGAAGCAAAGAGUGAUGCGAGUUCGAAUGGGUUAUGCGAAGCGAAGAAGAAGAUGAGAACUUUUGCGCGAGUGUCCCUGUAAAAUGAUUAAAUUGCGAAUUGUGUUUUAAAAAAGUUGUAGGUGCAAAUGUAUGGAGAUCCCUCAACUAUAGAUCGUACUGAAAUGAGCCCCUUAACUUUAAUUUUUUUAGUUAAUUUGUAACUUUUUUAUUUGAAAAAGAAUUUGAGUAGUUAAACAAGUCAAAAUUGUACUAAAUUUGAUAGUUCGAUUAGAUAUUCACUAAAUAUAGUUUAAACUAUUAAAUUUGGUGAAAUUAUCAAUCAAUUUGGUAGAAUGGUCAAUCUAUUUGACUUACUUCAAAAAGCAGCAUAGAGUUGAGGAUCAAUUUUUAAUUACUCUAAAGUUGAGGGAGUCUCCACACAUUUUUACCUCCACAAUAUUAUUACAUUUUUCGCUUCUCAAACCCUCGCGCCCUUUCCCCUUCGCCCUCUCUCUCUCUCUCUCUCUCUCUCUCUCUCUAAGGCCUCCUCAUCCAUUCCCAAACCCUAGGAAGAGUAGAGCUCAGCAAUGGCGUGGUGGUGCGAGGGAAUGGAGGAGCCCCGUCACCUAAUCGCCCCUCGUAACCCCUUUAAACCCUAAUCCUCUUCGAUGUUACUCUUUGCCACUGCUUUUUUACUUCUUUUUUUUUUUUUUUGAUUGGUUGAUUCAUCCCUUGUUGAAUGCCGCUUUGUUCCCCGUUGAUUCCUGAUGAUGGUGAUUUAUCACAAUUUUUUAUGAAAAUUAAAAAAAAAAGUGUAGGAUCAUUUGAUAUUUGGCGCUGCUUUUGCUUCCGCUUUCAGCUGCAGUCAUCUUUAGUAUAGCACUUGGCAAACAUCAAAAAUCUCCAGAUUCUGCUGCUGCAGGAAGAUUAAAAAUGGAAUCUUUUGAGUCCAAAGAUCACAACCUCUAAUUUGCUGCUUUUGCUUUUGCUGCAAAUAGAAUCUGUUUGAGGGAUUUUAGUAUAGCGCUUCUCUUGAUUAGCAGUACCAAAGAAGCAUUUUAUGAGACGAUUAUUAGGAAGAGAAAAGAAGAGAGUAAAAAGACGAGUUCUUUUCUUGUUUAAAUGUAGUUGGAAAGAAAAAAAAGGUAAAAUAAAAAGAGUUGAUUCUCUUCUGUUUGAUUGGGGAAAAGAGAAGGACAGUUAUUUAUUUUCUAGUCGUUUUGAUUUUUCGCUUUUUCUCAUGUGUUUAUUUUCAGAUAUAACUGUCCAAAUAAUCCGCAAAUUGAUGUUUUUACCCUUUUUUUGUUUUUCUACUGCAGUGUCUUGCACUUUGAAUUCAGAAGGAUUGAUAUUAUCCUUGAAACAUCCAAAAUCAGGUUUGAGAAAAAUUUAAUACCAUGCGUUCUAUAAGGAUUCGCAGGAGCUUCAAUAGACCUGAAGAUGCAUUUGUUAUAAGUGAUUCAAUGUAGGUAGAAAAGUGAUGCAUUGAUGAGGCUUUUUGGUUCAUAUGAAAUUUUAUUACUUUGACGUUUCUUGUUAAAAUGAUUUCUGCAAUCUCAAUUCAUUUGCUAUGGAAAGUAUACAACUGUCAGUUGAUGCUAAGCAAUUGUAAUUCCAUUACUAUAUCGAGCAGGAGAACCAACUAACUAUGUGUUCAUGGAUGGAAAUCUUCGAGAAGUCAAUUGGUUCAAGCAGUCCUACGGCUCUUGGUUCCUCGGAGACUACGUUUGUGAAGGUAUGCUUUAACUUGGUAAUUUCAUUUUUUUUUUCUGCACUUCUUUAGAAUGGUUCCGCCAUCAUCUGUAUACUGCUUAGAAAUGGUUUGUCGAGAGAGGGAUAUUACCAUUACAAGUAACAUCAGCAAGAAAAUUGAUAGAUACUGGUUUAGUAAAGUAGCUUUAUGCUACCUGUACUCUUAUUAGUGAAAAACUACUAGCAAAGCAAAUGUUGCAUGUUAUUAAGCAUAUUAUAAUAGGGCUGUAGAACACACACUUUUGAUAGCAAAAUUACCGAGCUGUAAAUAACCAUUCCUAGUAUAAUUGGAGACGUGCUUAUCUCCGCUGUUAUAUACUUAAUAGUUAGCAUACAAUGUAGUGUCUAUAUCAUGGGAAAAGUGUAACCUUUCAGAACUAAAAUGGUAGCUGAAAAUACUAUUCAAUUUGAGAAUCUUAGAGAUAUUAAUAUAUUGAAUACCCUUCCAUAUGUACUUUAGAUUAGAUUCUUUGAAGAAAAGAAAAUUAUUUCUUACGGUCGCUACCAGCUUAUUUUCAUUCUUUCUUACGACAGAUGGCAGCUUGUAUAUUUGUACACCUGUUGAUCCCGUUUUCAUUCUCUUACCAAUUUUUGAGGCUGCCCGAAUGUCGGUAUGUUUGUAUAAUCUUCGAUGCAUCUUCUUGCUUAUUGGUCUUAGUACACUUAAGAUUUAAUUUAGUUAUUUUUAAGCGACAAUUACAAGUACAACAACUAAGCCUUCUUUUCCUAUUAUUAUCGGGUUUGGCAUGUUAUCUUGUGAGAUUUAUUCUUCUAUCCCGUUUAUGGUAUGUUUUUCGUUUGUAGAGUAAGAGCUUCGAUGGAAUAAUUGAAAUGCUUUUCACCAUUCAUCCUUGCUAAAGGAAUGAUGUACAGUUUGUUAGCUGUAGUUUGAUAGUUACUUUCUUAAUUGUUAUAAUUGUCUUUUCCUUUUAAUUAUUGUUUCUCUAACUCUCUUCUCUUCUUAAUGCAGAAGGCUAAUAAUGGUGUGUUUAGGCAAUUAGAUGAAAUUUUAUAUGUUGAUGGCUACCCAGGAUAUCAGCAUCUCAUGUCCAUUGCGGGAGAUCAUAUGCAAAUGGUUUGUGAAGUGAAAGGUAGUUGUUUCGCUACCUACUUGGAUCAAUUGUUGCAUGGCAAAAUAAAUUUUGUGAAGAAAAAGUAUCGAAGUAAAUUGAAAAAUAAUCUACUAUCCAUGAUCAAUUAUAUUUACUUAUUUGUGUUUUUUUUCCUUUGGAAGUUAAAAGCAUUGUCACCAUACACUGAAUAGCACAAGUUUCGAGUGGGAAAAAGAAAGUUUUCUCUUAUAAUGAGUUUCAUAUUUAUUUGCAGAAAUUGGAUCUUCGAAGUUCUAUAGGCUGGAUGAUUCCAAAGUCAUAGCUUGGUUAUGCUGUAAGGUGCGCCUUGUGAUUACUCCCUUGUUGGAUGAUGGGUACAUCAACCUGUAGCGGAUUACUUUACUGCAUGCUGUGGUCAAACAAUCUCUAAUUCCUCUUUUAUAUGGUUAUGCUUAAGAUGUAUAAAAGUUCUAAUUUUAUAUAAGGAUUAUGUCUCAUGGAAAAUAAUUAUAAUAUCUUUCUCCAUCUCUGCAUUACACAAUAACCCACCUCCCGUUUACCUAUUUUACCUAAUAAAAUUUUGUUGCGCAUUUGCUUCUAUUUUCUUCCAUUAAAAACUUCAGCAGUUAAUUGUCUUUUAUAGUGUAUGUUUUCUUUUUGCAGGUACAACAGUUGAAAGAAACAAUUCCAAAAUUAGGAAAGAAUUUUGCAGCUCGAGAAGAACGAGACACAUGUAUGUAAUCAAAUCGCUCAUGCAAAUCCUGUCGGAUUAUUUUAGACAUGAAACACACAGCUGGGGCAUUAUUUUUUCAUAGUGUGUAUGGUAGUAUUUACUCUGUUACGGUGAUGAAGAAUUCUUUUUCCGUCUGAACUACAAAUUAAUAACAAGAUUCUGAUAUUCCUUUCUACAAGUACGGCACUGGAAUGAAACAUGUCCCGAGUGUGUUCAAAACUUCAUUGCCAAGAACAUGAGCAUCUAUGUCACAAAUGGUUUUGCCUCAUUAGGAUGAUGUUUGCCGCAUUGCGUGGGAGCUUUCUCUUCAUAAUUAUUUCCCAAUUAAGCUACUUAAUAAACAUGGUCUAUGUUCGCAGUGAAGGACAUUAUCUCAUUGUUGGGUGAGUACUUGAACGAUGAUCCUUGGUUGACGCCCCUUUGCCAGCACUUGCAGUAAGAUUUGUUUGUGCCCAUGAAAAAUUUGUUCUCGUCAAAGCUGCCCUUAGAUCAUUUGCUUUUAUAUGUUUAACUAGUUAUGUUUUUCAGCUUGGAUAUGCAAGAAUCUAAGAACAAUGCAUUAAAAUUUGAUGCUUCUCCAGUUUUUCUAGAUAAUACUGCAUCUGCUCGGCCCGUAGAGGUAUUCCUUGAGAACUCUUCAGUCGCUAAUAUUUUUGGUGCCUAUUUGGCAUAGCUUAUGGAAAACUUAUCCACUCCGAAAAGCAACAACUAGGCAGAAAAAAAAAAUAGGUACUUCUGCUUUGGCAGAAAGCUGAAAUGAGCUUCUGACGCAUUUUCAAUAGUCUGCACCUGCUGCAUGUGGAUGGCUGUUGAAAGGAUUUUUGUAAAAAAGCUCCAGUCUUGCCAAACAGGCCGUAAUUACUAGUUCUAUUUAUCAAUUCCUUAUUUAUCUGUCGAUGAAUGCGGUCGGUUCAAAAUACUUCUCGCAGGGCAAGUUGGGGAAGAGCAACAGCAUGUCAAGCAAAGGAAAACAACCCAAAAAGAUGAAGCUAGAAACCGACUCGAAGAACAUAAAAGACAUGUUCAGCAGGGCCACCAGAAGUCGAAACAAUCUCUGAUUCUGUUUGUAUUAUUAAUCAUUCCGAAAAAUAUGUGUCAUAAGAUUUUGCUACCAAUUGUGUGAUGUUAGAGUCUUGAAUCUAGCUCAGAAAGGGACACCACAUUUUUGUGAACAAAUUUUGCUGUAAUAUGCUGUUUCAUUAUUUUCCCAAACUUUAGCUUAUGAUUCCUAUGUUUCCCCAAACUUUAUAUCAAUGUCAAGGUCUCUGUCAUUGUUGCUCUUGUUUUCUAUGAUUCUUAUAAUAUCCCAGUUGAAUAUUUUCCCAAAAUUUAUCAAUGUAAUGCUCUUUAUCAUUAUUAUUGCCCAAUGGACAAACUAUACAUUUGGAUGGCAACUUGUUAUCAACCCUUCAGAAGUUAGCGCCUAAUUUUUUUAUUUUUUAUUUUUAUAUUUAGCUUUGGGUCAGGUCAAUGUCUUCAUCAUCUUUUUUUUCUUUUUUUUUUCUUUUUUUUUUUAUAUUCACAAUCUUUCAUUCUCAACCACUAAUCCAACUAAGAUAUUUUCUAUAGGGUAAAAUUCAAAUACCACUCCUGUAGUUUCGCGCUUUCUCACUCUAGUACCAUAUAGUUUAAAGUGUAAAUGAAACCACAGGGUAUUAAAUUGAUACACUUUAAAUCACAUGGUACUAAAAUAAAAAAGUGCGAAACCAUAAGGGUGGUAUUUGAAAUUUAUCCAUAUAUAUAUAUAUAUAUAUAUAUAACUAGGUUGGAAUACUAUCGAUAGCCUAAAUACUUGGUGCUAUUAGGUUUUUGGCAUAUAGAUGAAAAAAUAUACUGUUACAAUGAUGUAGGCCCUCUAGAGUUGAGUGAGUUAUUGGUUGAAUAGUACAAUCUAACGGGUAAAACUCGAUAACACCAAGCGCUUCGUGCUGUCGAUAGUAUCUCAGCCAAACUCUCUCUCUCUCUCUCUCUCUCUCUCUCUCUCUCUCUCUAUAUAUAUAUAUAUAUAUAUAUAUAUAUAUAAAAGGAAGGUUGCUAUUAAAAUAGCUUUAAGUUGAUGGUACCAAUACAAAGCAAAUGGUCAAAUGCAAUGAACCCACUCAUCAUUUGACUAUUCCUCUAAUAAUCACCUAAUGCCUAUCAAAACCUAGCCUCAGUGGAGUUAAAAAUAAAUAAAUAAAUAAAUAAUCUUGUGAAAAUGCUUAUCUUGAGGUGUUGAUUUUUGAAAAUGUCAAAGUUGGAAUUGGGGUGUUUUGGUAGCACCUAAGAAGAGAAUCACACAAAAUCAUAUCACUUUGAUUAGAUUAAUCAAAAUAUUCUAAAAGAAUAAAUUGGUUGAAAAACAUAUUCACUAGGAUAUAUAUUGGUAUAAUUAACAUGUGAUUUCUGAUAAGUGGUGUGAGCUUCAUAGAAAUUUUUUUUUUUUUUAAAAAAAAGUUUCUUGCACUUUUCAAUCCCAAAAAUAGAACAAAUUCACAAAAAAAUUCCGUUCGAAAUAAAAAAAUCAAUUAGUAAUAAAAGACACAUGAUAAGUACAUUAGUAGAUCAAAUUUUGAAAAGAUACAUAUUAAUUAGUGACCAAAUUUAAUAGAUCCGUAAGCAAUACCAUUCCAAAUAAAGUAUAAAAAUGAAUCUAAUCAGAUUCUGUCAAUUAAUAGCAUAAACUUAUAAUAAUGAAUAUUAAGUUAUAAAUUAAAUAACAUCAUUGUAUUAUUACUAUUAUUAUUAUUAUUUUUAACACAAGUAGAUGUGAAUUUUCAAAAGGAGAGACCAAUUCAAGAUCUUCAUUUCCCACCUUCUAGAAGUCAACACAAAGAAAGAAAUUAAUAUUAAAUAAUAAUUGUCAUUUAAGUUUUUAUUUACUAAUAUCUAAAAAAUAUUUUAAAUUCUAGCUGGUAUAGGAUUACAAUCCUAAAAUUAAGGGCUAAAUAAAUAGCUUAUAUCCUAUAAAUUAGAAGAUUGAGUACCAAACUUAAAAUUUUAAAAAGUUGAGGGUAGUGCUAUGCAUUUUUUACCUUCUCUUAAAUAAGGGGAAACUUCAAAUACCCCUAUUGUGGUUUCGCACUUUCUCAUUUUAUUACCCUGUGAUUUAAAGUGUAUUAAGUUAGUAUCCUAUGGUUUCGCACUUUCACAUUUUAGUACCUUAUGGUUUCAAGUGUAUCAAGUUAGUACCCUAUGAUUUUAUUUUUGUUUCAAGUUAGUACCAUAUGGUUUCAAUUUUCUUUUUCUAUUAUUUAUUUUGGGGUAUAUAAUUUAACGAGAUAUUAAACCAUAGGGUAUUAAAGUGAGAAAGUGCGAAACCACAUGGUACUAACUUGGUACAUUUGAAACCACAGGGUACUAAAGUGAGAAAGUGCGAAACCACGGGGUACUAAUUUGAUACACUUUAAACCACAGAGUACUAAAAUGAGAAAGUGCGAAACCACAUGGAGGGUAUUUGAAGUUUUUCCUAAAUAAUAGUGACCGAACUAAAAAUAUGCAAUAUGAAAGGGGGCUGAGUGAAAUUUUCCUCAUCUUCUCCAUUUAUAUAUAAGUGGCUCGGACUCUUCGUCCCCUUCCUCAGAGUGAGAGAGAGAAACCCUAAGAGAGAGAGAGAGAGAGAGAGAGAGAGAGAGGAGUUUAGGGCAUCAAUGGCGGAGGGGGAGGUGGGGACGGAGUUGGAGGAGGCGCAGUUCGCGGCGGGGUGCUUCUGGGGGGUGGAGCUCGCGUUCCAGAGGGUGGAGGGGGUGGUGAGAACGGAGGUGGGGUACUCGCAGGGCCACCUCCCCAAUCCCACCUAUGGCGACGUGUGCCGCGGCGACACCGGCCACGCCGAGGUCGUCCGCGUCGUCUACGACCCUAGGGUUUGCCCCUACCAAUCCCUCCUCCGCGUCUUCUGGGCUCGCCACAACCCCACCACCCUCAAUCGCCAGGUACUCUCGUAACACCCCCCAAUAGUCCCGAAUCGGAUAGAAAAGAGAUUAUAAUUGGAUAUAUAUAUAUAUAUAUAUAUAUAUAUAUAUUUAUACUAUUAUACUAUUGAGAGUACAAAGCGAUUGAUACUAUCGCGUUUUCAAUGCGGUUAGGAUUUAGGGUUGAGUGGGUGGUUAGUUGAAUAGUAUAAUAUAUGGGUGGUUCUUUAGGUUUAGGGUUGAAUGGGUGGUUAGUUGAAUAAUAUAAUAUAACGGUCGAUAGUACCUCGGUACGAUCGAUAGUAUAGUAGCCGGACUCUCUCUCUCUAUACGUGUGUGUGUAUAUAUAUAUAUAUAUAAAAGAGAUCCUAGUAAUAAUAAUUGUGAUUAAGCAUUUUGAGUCGACGGUGGUGCGUGCCCAACGAGUUAGUAAUUAUUGAAAAUUUUUGAUUUUGUUACCAAACUUUUUAAUUUAUUUGAUUUGAGGCGGUUAAUGAAGCUUUAGCUUCAAAAUUUGAAUGCGUCUGUAAGUUUAUGUUUAUAGAUUUAAUUAGCAUAUUUUAUGCAAUUCAAGUAAACUGUAAAUUGAUUGGAAUAAGCAGUUGGCUUAAAUUUUGUAUCGAAAGAGCCACCAAAUGGCAUAAAUUAAAUAAUUGGAAAAAUUGAAUACUACAAUUAAAAUUUUGAAAUGUUGUGCGCGGUCGAAUCAAAUGAUCUAUAGUUUAGGUAAGUUAUGUGCAUUUUUACCUUUUUUUUGAUACGCUAAAAUACAGAAAAAUCCUAUAAAUAUCCGCUUUUGCAUUUUUCCUCCUAUCUUUUAAAAAGUCUUUAUUUUAUCCUCUUGAAAUUUAAAUUAUAGCAUUUAACUUCGCACCGUUACUAUUUUGUUAUCGUUUUGUGCAUACGUUGUAUGGAAUAGCCGGGUAACUACUGAUAUAGCCAUUUAUUCUUGAAUCUCUUUUAUAAAGUUAUCUAAUCUAAGAAAAAAAAUAAAAUAAUGAUUUUUAUCUAUUUUCAUCAUUUCUAAGAAUAUAAUAAAUAUUUCAGGAGGUUACUGUUACCACACAAUUUAUGCACCAAAUUGUGACGAAAUAAUAACGAUGCUGUAAUAAGUGCUACAAUUUUAAAUUUAAAGGAGGGAAAAUAGAAUUUUGAAAAGACGGUUGGAUGAAGUACAAAAGUAUAUAUUUGUAAAAAAGUUUUCUGUAUUUUAGCCUAUAUUAUUAUACUUGUUAAUGGUCAUGCCUGAGUUGCCUUUUUGUCGUAUCCCUGUUUUGAGUGACAACGUGGUAUCUGAGUCGGUCCUCUGCUUUGGCGUCGAUCUUAUUUUUCUAAAUGAAAAUUUUUUGUUGUUGAAUGCGUCGGCAGAUGAACUUUUCUACUCUUGUUGCCAAAUAAAUAUCUUACAUGUGCAGUAAACACUCCACCAUCUUCUAUUGUAUAGAAUUAGUGUUUAAGAAAAUAAAAAAAAUCGAUAAUGAUAUACCAAAUUAGGCCUUAAAAUAAUAUUGUCUAGCUUAAACUUUUAGAGACAAAUGACUAUUUCAUAUAAUAUUUGAUUUUGGAUCCACUAGGUUUCGAGGUAAUUAAUUUCCUCCUAUUCGCUAUAAAUCCAUGUCUGAAUCUUAUAAAAAAUUCUCUAGUACGCAAGUACGGGAAGUGUUUAAUGUAAUAUUAAAUCAUUCUUCACUUCGUGGAUGGAACUAGAACUUUCUUUGAAGGGCUAAAUAGUUGUAGUUUAUUAAGUUUACCAUCUGAUCUUUGAAUUAUGUAGUUUUAUAAUAUAAAAACUAGAAUCUAGGGAUAUAGAGGAACAGUUAUUUAUAUAGUUCGAGAUGUAGUAAAAUUUUCAUUUUUGUAGAAAAAGAAAUGUAGCUUGAUUUGCAUAGCGCUUGUAGAAAAAUGCCAAAAUUCAGGAGAUUACAAGAGCGAAAACGUUUACCAAAUUUGUGCUUGAGAAAUUUUCAGAUAUAUGUACAUGAAAUUGGUAAGAAUCCUUUUAUAUUUUGACUCGGAAUCAAUUAAUGAACUUAGUAAUAGUAUUCUCUGUGGAGACUAUAGGACUUUGUUGUUUCAUAGUCCAAACCUGAAAAGAGUAAAGCUUAGGGGGUGUUUGGUUUUAACGUAAAACUGUGAAAAAUAGUUUGGUUUGUCGAGUUUUACGUUUUGUCGAGUUUGGUUUGUGGGGGGAAAAAAAUGGCUUUUUUGUUUGGUUGAAGGGAAAAAAAUUCCCAUUUGUUUGGUUGGGCAACAAAAAAAUGAAUGAAAAAGUUUUACGUAGCUUGACUUUUCGUUUUCCGUUAACAAUCGGCGGAAAACGAAAACACUCCAUUUUCCUCAAAUCUAUAAAAAUAGUUUUCUAAAACAAAAAAUUUACGGCUAAACAAACACACAGAAAACUAUUUUUCAAGUCGGAAAGUAAUCUUCAUUACAUUUUAUGGCCAACCAAACGCACCCUUAAUUUGCAAGCAAAAAAGCUCCUAAAUAGUUGCGCACAACAUGAAGUUUCCGAACAUUUGAUGUUCUUGUUCUUCACUGCGCGGAGGUUGAAUGGUUCUAUAUUCUGCUUUAUCGCAGGGAAACGACGUCGGCACUCAGUAUCGGUCGGGGAUCUACUACUACACUGAGGAGCAAGCCAAGCUCGCUCGCGAGUCGAUGGAAGCGAAGCAGCAGGAGUUCAAAGAGAAGAUCAUGACGGAGAUUCUCCCAGCCAAGGAGUUCUACCGAGCCGAAGAAUACCACCAGCAGUACCUCGAGAAGGGCGGCGGAAGAGGAGACAAGCAAUCUGCAGAGAAAGGAUGCAAUGACCCCAUCAGAUGCUAUGGUUGAUUCACUAUUUUUGCAUCAGUAGUGGUUUUAAGUUAUGUUGUUUCUCUUAUGCAUUAUAUAUUAUGCAUAAUAUAUAUGUGGUUGAUUUGAUACUCCUAAAUCUCAGCAAAAUAAGCAUGUUAUUGUUGGUAAAAUUGCUAAAUAUUAUACAAAAUGGUUGUUUGUGAUGUUUGUGGGUAUUUUUGUUUCAACAUUGCUUCGCAUUACUUUUGUUGCAAAAAGAUUCAUUUGUGUUUGAAUUAGUGUGUACACAAGUAGCUUUUUUUUUUUCUUUUUUUUUUUUUAAUCAUUCCUGUGGUUUCGCAAUUUUUCACUUUAGUGUUCUUUGGUUUAAAGUAUAUCAAUUUAGUAUUCUAUAGUUUUAUUUUUUUCUUUUCGUCAACCCAUCCGUUAACUUUUCGCUAAAUCAUAUAUAAAAAAUUUUAGAUAUUCUACUUAUAGUUUAUCGAAUAUUUAUUUUAAUAACUUUUAGUUUUAACUUUGUCGUUGAUUUAACGAAAAAUAAUUAGUGGAGGGAAUAAUAAAAAAAAUAAAAUAAAAUUACAGUGUACGAAAGUGAUACGCUUUAAAUUACGGGAGGCUAAAGUGAGAAAGUGUGAAACCAUAGGGGUGGUAUUUGAAGUUUUUUUUUUUAUUUUUUUUUGGGAAAACUUCAGAAAACCCCCCUGUGGUUUCGUGGUUUCUCAGUUUGCCCCUCUGUGGUUUAAAGUGUAUCAAAUUGCCCCCCCUGUGGUUUUAUUUUUAUCUUUUCGGUAGCUUUUUCAUUAAUAUUUUAUUAAAUUAUAUGCAAAAAAUUUCAGAUACCCAUCUAGAUUUAUCAAAUAUUCACUUUAGUAUCCUUUAAUUUUAACUUUAUCACUGAUUUACGAAAAAAAAAUAAUGAAAUUGAUAAGAAAAAGAGAAAAAAGAAACCACAGGAGGGUAAAUUGAUACAUUUUAAACCACAGGGGAGGCAAAAUGAGAAACCACGAAACCACAGGGGGGGUUUUUGAAGUUUUCCCUUUUUUUUUUUAAUAAGGAAUUCUAUUUUGGAUUAUGUCGAUUUUGAGGAUAUAUGAAUAGUAGUGAUUAAAGCCUAAGCAUAGGAUGGUUCACCACUCACGUGGUGGACCAAAUCCAAGCAAACAAAUUUCGACAUCAAAACAUAAGACAAAAUUUUAAAAUUUUAUGGAGCAUCGAUCUCUCCGUCGGAAGAGGACAAAGCCCACUUGUUUGUCUCUCUAUUUUAUAUACUUUUUCUAUAAAAAAAAUUAAUAUUAUAUUAUAAUUACAUUUUUAUUUUACUGUAAAAACUUUCAAAAAAUUUCACUUUGUCAUCUUUUUUAACUGUAGGUAUUUUUACUGAAAUAAAAAAUAAAAGUUCGAAGCGUUUAAGAAUUGUAAAUUACAGAUUGAAAAAGUAAAAAAUAUGAUAAAUAUUUGAAAAAACUUCAAAUACCAUCUUUGUGGUUUCACACUUUCUCACUUUAGUACCCUGUGGUUUAAAGUAUAUUAAUUUAGUGCCCCGUGGUUUCAUUUUUAUCUUUUUAUUAUCGAUUUCACUAAUUAUUUUUGUUAAAUUAGUGACAAAGUUAAAAUUAAAGGGUACUAAAGUGAUUAUCCGAUAAAGUUAGGCAGGGUAUCUGGAGUUUUUUUGUAUAUAAUUUAAUGAAAUAUUAACGAAAAAGCUGACGAAAAGAUAAAAAUAAAACCACAGGACACUAACUUGAUACACUUUAAACCACAGAGUACUAAAGCGAGAAAGUGCGAAACCACAGGGGUAGUAUUUUACUGUGAAACGGGGGUGCACCAAUGGUGCACCAGGUGCAUGUAAAAUAAUUUAUUAAUUUACAAAUUUCACGGUCCAAAAUAAGGCCAGGCCCGAGCAUCGCGCUGCACCGCAUCACAACGAAGCUCCCUCGCACGUGCGAAUCUCCACCACUACCCCUCUAAAAAAUUAUCGCGUGCACCGUGUGUAUAAAUGCAUCUCAUACACCACCUCUUGUAAAAGGAAAGCUAUAAUAUAUGCCUCAAAAAUCAAAAUCUAAUUCAUUAGAUAUGCAAUAUAAUUUAUUUAUGACAUUAAAAAGGUUUAUAUUUAAAGGCUAAAAUAUAGAAAAAUAUUCUAUAAAUACUCGUUUUUCACUUUUCUUUUCUGACUUUUAAAAGUUUAUAUACUUUUUUUCUUAAAGUUUGAAGAAUAUUUUUAAGGGUUACGUUUGUUAAUAAAGCAUGCGAAAGAAUCAAAUUAUCCAUACUUAUAAUUUUUUUAAAUAUUUUUUUAAUAAUGACGGAUCUCUGACGGAGGGAGAGGGAGAGUUACAUGCAUCAACUUGAAAUCUUUAAAGGGUUAUGAUUUUUAAAAAUUUAUAUUUUUUUCUUAAAUUUUUUAGAAUAUUUUUAAGAGUUACGCAGUUGAUGGAAAAAAAUAAAAUAACCAAAUUAUCCUUAUAAAUUUUUAAAUAUUUUUUUAACAAUGGCUGAGCUCUCUAAAUGCAUCAACUUGAAAUCUCUAGAGGGGUAAAGGGUAGGAUUUUCAAAGUCAGACAGAUUUUCUAUUUUUUAGUCUAUACAUUUAAAUUUUAUAAUUAUUUUUGGAGUUGGGCUGGAAUACUAUUGAUAAUAUCACUAUAACAAAAUUAGGUUAUAGGGACACAUGUUUGGGACACUUUUGAGUAAGUGUCCCAUUUAUGCUAAAACUUAAAAACACAUUUACUAAUGCCUAAAUAUAAAGCCCAAUCCAACCAAAAAUAAAAGAUUAUUCUAUUCAACCCACCACACCCAGUCCAUUUGGCUCGAUUACAAACAGAAAAGAAAAAAAAAAGAAAAAAUCAAUUACCAUCUUUUCUUCUCUCUUCACUCAAUCCACUGAAAUUCUAGACGAAGAGCCUUUACUGUCGUCCUCCUCCGCCACCGUAGCCAACGAGAUAGAGUUUCGGCGGUUGCUAAAUGCUUAAAUAAGUGUUGGUAAAUUAGCAGCACUCUUUUAGGUUAUAGCGACACUCUUUAACUGUCACUAUAUACCUAGCGAUCCCACAUAUAGCAACACUUUUUAAAAGUAUCGGUAAUUUUAGCUAGUAGCACUUUUUUGACAUGUACCUACAUUUAAAAGUGUCGCUAUAAACCGUUUUUGUUGUAGUGUAUUUGGCUCCUUUUGUUAUUAAGUUUUUAGCCAUUGGGUGAGGGAUUGUAGGAUUAGGAUGAUAUUAGUCCCUUAGGGUUGAGUGAUUCCUACUGAGUUAUAAUAUUUAAUCCAUUGGUUAGAAAUGGUCAAAUAAAUUAAUCCAAAGGCUAAAAAUUUGAUAGCAAAAGAGGGCAAACACUUUUAUGUUGAAACUUAAUAUUUAGAACUUAAUACAUCUUUGGGUAAGGGAGUCCAAAAUGGUGGAAUUUUUUUCCUUUGGUUAAAGUGGAUUGUAAUUUUACUCUAUUUUUUGGAGUAUAGUAUAACUAUAUUUCAAAAAUUACGUCAUUUUUUUUCUCUCCAAACGCUUCAUAGGAUUAUUUUUCUACUGGUGUAACAUAGUUUAACUAUGCUACGUUUUUAGGGGUAUCAAAACGGGGUCUUAAUGAUAUUCUAAUCCAACUUAUUAUUUCUGUAUAAGCUAUUUAGAUGUUGCAUAUCAUAAUCAUAGUCGAGGAGGUGUACUUGGUGCAUGCAACAAUUCAUUUCUCCUCUCUCUCUCUCUCUCUCUCUCUAUAGAUCUCCCCCUCACACAUGCAUGGUAUAGAGAGAAAGAUAUAUAGAGAGAGAGAGAAUGGGUGAAUGGGGCCAAGCUUAGAGAGAGAAAGAGGAGAGAGAGAGGGGCAUAGAGGAGUCCGUCGUUCUCCUAUGCGAUCUCUCUCUUUCUCCUCCUUAGUACAUAAUUUCUCUCUCUCUCUCUCUCUCUCUCUCUCUCUCUCUAUACAUAUUCUAUAUAUAUACACACAUUGCAUGUGUAAAUGGUUUCAAGCUUCUUCUCGCUGUUCACGUGCAUGGCGCCGGCGAUGGAGGAGCGCCGCGACGCCAUCGAGGAAGCGCCCGUGCCGAGAGCAGAAUCCGAUCGGGGGGUCAGCGUAGCCGUCGACGGAGGCGGCGGCAGCGAUCGCGGGGCGACGUCAGAGCAGAGCUACGGCCGGGUGGCUGUGAUCGGCAGCGGCAACUGGGGCAGCGUCGCGGCGAAGCUCAUCGCCUCCAACGCCGCCAAGCACCCCAUGUUCCAUGGUAAAAAUUUAAGAGCAAACUUCAAAUACCACCUUAGUUUCGCACUUUCUAAAAUACCCUGUAGUUUAAAUAGUUUAAAGUCUAUUAUUUUUCUUGUUACGUCAGUUCCUAUAUUAAUAUUUCAUUAAAUUAUAUACAAAAAGCUUCAGAUACCCGAUCUAAAUUUAUCGAAUAUUCAUUUUAGUAAUCUUUUGUUUUAAUCUCGUCACUCGUCACUGAUUUAAUAAAAAAAAAAUAGUGAAAGAAAAAAUAAAAAAAAAAUAAAAUAAAAUUACGGGGCACUAAAUUGAUACACUUUAAACCAUAUGGUACCAAAAUGAGAAAAUGCGAAACAACAGGGAUGGUAUUUGACGUUUUUUCUAUAAUUUAAUACGGUAUCAGAAUAAAAAGUUUUGUGUUCGAAUUUCGUACCGUAUAAUUCAGUGAAAGAGAAUUUCAGAGAAUUUCAGAAUCCACCGUCAUCGUCAAUUGUCAUAGGGAGAAUUGUUGAAUAUAUAAAAUUAAGAAAUUGUAGUUCUCUUAAAUAGCUCAAGACCUUUUUUGGUAUUGUAUUUGAAUAUAAAUUUUUUUAAAAAAAUCACUUUCUCUCUCUCUCUCUCUCUCUCUCUCUGAUAGCUUGAGCAAUUAGGAAGUAACAGUAUCUAAAAAGUAACUUUCAAAUGUUUUUUUGACAUUAUUGGUCUAAUAGUGUUUUAAAAUUUGUAAUUUUAAUGGUCGAUAUAAAAUGUUUUUUUCGUUUAACGGUAUAAAGAUAUUCAAAUCAAUUGAAUUUUAAUUAUAAAAUUCUUUAAACUAUUUAGAAUAAGAUCUAUAAUCUUGAUCUUGACUACAAACAAGACUCGUAUUAUCACUUUUUUAAAAAUCUUUAUUUGUAGCUGUUUAUUUUGUGUCCACUUGAUGAACAAGAGAACAAUAUUGAAAAAAUAUGAAAUUUAAUUUCUACAUGUUUCAAGUGGUAUAGAUCAUGUUCAACGAUACCGAUCGUCGGUUUGGAGGCUCCAUCAUCGAAAAUAAAUGGAUGGCAAUAGAGUUCAUUUGUUACUGAUAGCAUUCCGGCUCAACUCUGUCUCUGUCUCUCUCUCUCUCUCUAUACGUAUAUAUUCAAGCUAUAUCGAGCCGAAUGUGAGCGAGAUGAUCCCAGCUCGGAUUCGGCUCGUUAAGAUUUCGAGCUGAAAAAUAGUUAUUAAACAAGCAACACGUUCUCGAGCUCAUUUCGAGCCGAACACAAGCUGGCUCGCUAACAGCGAGCUGGAUUGCCAGCCCUAAACAACAGUCGGAGAAAACUUACUAAAAUUCGGUUAGACGAUUAUUAAUGAACAUGACUACAUUAUUUGCAUUGAAAAUUUUAAAAUCUGAUUCGUAGAGUUAUUUUGUGAGAAACUUUUAGAUGAAGUGAGGAUGUGGGUGUAUGAAGAAACAUUGCCGAAUGGCGAGAAGCUCUCUCACACCAUCAACCAAACCAAUGUAAAAUUAUCUUUCAUUUCCUUGUUCAAUUUCUUUGUUACAAUGCUUGCACCUUAGGAAUUGAAUACUUACUGCAUGAUUAAUUAUUUUGCGUGACGAACAGGAGAAUUGCAAGUAUUUACCGGGAAUUAAGCUCGGCGUAAAUGUAGUAGCAGAUCCUGACCUAGAAAAUGCAGGUAAUUUCACAAAAUCAUAUAUAUUAAUAGUCUCAAAUGUCGUCGAAUUGUGAUGCCAUGUUUCUGAAUUUGGUUUUCUUUUACUGGCAGUUAAAGAAGCGAAUAUGUUGGUGUUCGUGACGCCGCAUCAGUUUGUGGAGGGCAUAUGCAAGAGGCUUGUGGGGAAAAUAAGGCCGGGGGCCGAGGCCAUUUCGCUCAUCAAGGGAAUGGAGGUCAAAAUGGAAGGACCAUGCAUGAUUUCCAAAUUGAUCUCCGACAUGCUCGGCAUCAACUGUUGUGUCCUCAUGGGGGCUAAUAUCGCUAACGAGGCAAGAAUAGAUUGAAUCUUCUCUUUCGCUUUCAUAAUGAAAAAGAGAAGAGAAAAUAAUAAGCGGAGAUAUCUGAGUGCAGAUUGCUGUCGAGAAGUUCAGCGAAGCGACAGUCGGGUAUAGGCAGGAUAAGGAAGUGGCGCAAAGAUGGGCUAGACUGUUCGGCACAUCAUAUUUCCUAGUAUCUGUCGUAAGUGCUGUUCCAUUGCUUUCGAUAACUUACGUGUGCUGCGCUAAUUUAUAUACAGAUCUUUUCAAAGUUACUUAUGUCGACUUGAUCGAAAUCAUUCAUUGUGUAAUAAGAGUUAUACAACGUUAACACCGAUUCCAAAAGCCCGAGCCCCUAAAAAAAGGGUGACCAAUUUCUUUAAAGCGCACAGACAUAACGCCCAUAGAUCUCAACUGUGACUUGAUCUAACUUGCUCUCUGCAACGUAAGCAAAAUGCUAGCCUACCCGCCAAUAAUAAUAACUCCGUCUUCUACUACGAGUCGAGCAUGAAUACUUGCGAAAGCAUUUGGACCCUAAUACAUCCUAUCGAGAAACGGUCUUAAUUAAGGCAUAUAUCUAUAUGGAAAAAAUUUCUUCAUAGAAUCAACAAUUUAUUAGUCGAUACAAAGAGAGAGUAAAAUUAUAAGUACACAAUAUUCCAGGUUAGGGUAAUUUUCCCGUAAAUGUUUUACUAACCAUAUAUCAAGAUCAAGGUGUAUUACCAUGCCAGGGCCAUAUUGUAAGUGAACGGAUAACCGUAAGGGUGUAAAUGAUACAUUUUUGUGGUCAUAAUCGCCGACAGGUACAGGACGUCGAGGGAGUAGAGCUGUGCGGAACGCUAAAGAAUGUGGUGGCUAUUGCGGCAGGUAUCGAACACACACCUUCGAACAGACACCCAACUCUUUUAGUGUUUGUUUUGUUCCCUCCCGUCGGAGAGUUAAGAUCCAAAAUGGUGAUUUUGCAGGUCUUGUUGAUGGCUUGGACAUGGGAAACAAUACCAAGGUUUGUAAUUCUUUCGUACGAACUAUUACCUAAAAGACCGAUCGAGUAGGAAAUGAGCCCAAAAAUAUAUAUUACCACUCUGACUCACGUGCAUUGUGAAAUUUAAACCUGCUACAUGUCAAAAAUGGGGAUUGAACCCAUAACCUCACAGAAUGAAGUACCAUAUUACACAACAGAUCGAUCAAGUAGGAAAUGGGCUUAGGAAUAUAUAUUAACAUGAACAAAUGGAACAAAAUUGCGGCAGGUUUAUCUUUUUAUAUUCCCUUUGGAUGUUGUAAUAUUUUAGGCCGCGAUAAUGAGGAUUGGUUUGAGGGAGAUGCGCGCUUUCUCCAAAUUGCUCUUCUCGUCGGUUAGGGACAGCACAUUCUUCGAAAGCUGCGGCGUCGCUGAUCUGAUCACUACGUGCCGUAUGUACUUCGACUCGAUUCGAUUCUUUCGCCUCGACUCAUACUCGAUCCAUAUACAUGCAUUCAAUGUUUUUUACUUUUUUGUGGCACAGUAGGGGGGAGAAACCGAAGAGUUGCCGAGGCAUUCGCAAGAAGCGGCGGCAAAAGGUUCUUCUCUAUAUGCCUUCCGUAUUUAUCUUAUUUGAAUUGAACUCUUUUAAAGCACUUUCACGUUUUUAUGAUCUCGUCGACAGAUCAUUCGAUGAGCUCGAGGCGGAACUACUGCAAGGCCAGAAACUGCAGGUAUGUGAAUACGAAUUUGUAAAACUUCUGCGACGCUGAAAAUACACUGCUCAUGAAUUGAACUCCUGAAGGGCGUGUCGACGGCGAAAGAAGUGUACGAAGUUUUGAGCAACCGAGGAUGGCAGGGGCUGUUUCCGCUCUUCACGACAGUGCACGAGAUCUGCGUCGGCGAACUGCCUCCGACGGCGAUCGUCGAGUACAGCGAGCACUCGCCGAAUGUAUCCAUCAUGGAGGGUUUCACUCAACAUUACUACUGAACAUCAUACUAUAACAUUUUGUUACCAAUUAUAUUGGAAUGUUCACAAAAUCAUGUAACUUGAGAAAACUUAUAUUUGUAACUGGGCUAGGUUGAAGUAUGUUGAAUCUUUUAUAUAGAAAAUUAUUAUGAAUCUUCAAGGCAUUAUAAAAGGAAUUAUUGAUCAUAAUAUAAAGCAUAUAUAUAGUUUGCUGUUCCUUUUUGUAGAGAAGUGUGUUUUAAGUUGUUAAAUUGAGACCAUUUGGUUGUGUACGUAAUUAGAAAUACAGCGUAAUUAAUUAAGAUGCAUGCAGUUAAAAAUACAGUGAUUAUAAUGAUGCAUAUUUUAUUUGGUUAAAUGCAGUCGAAAGCGUUACAGCUAUAAAUAACUUGUUUGAUAAUUGUACACGGUUGAGAAGUGUUUUUUAUAAAAUUUUAUCACUUUAUAUAUGAAAUGGAGAGACUUUCUCCAAUAUAGAGAAAAAAAUUUAUUUUCUGAUUAAAACUAAUUAGGAAUUCAAAUAUCUUAGUUGGAAUUCACGCCAAUUUGAGCAUUGUUUUAAUUGCUGCAGUUAGGCUUCCGCAUGAAGUUUCGACAGUAGCAACUGGAUUCAAAUUCAUCAAUCAAACACCGGAUUUAAAUCUACAUGUAAUUACAACUGCAGUACAGUUGCAACUACAUGCAACCAAAUAGCUUAAGUUAGCGAUUAAAUUUAUAAAAUUUUUAACAUAAUAAGACUAAUAAAUUAAAAAAUCAAAUGAUCGAAAGUUACGACGGUAUCGAUAAAAAAUAGUAAAAUAUUUGGUGGGCCUAUUCUGAAGUGGCCUAACCGUAUUCAAAUCUGACCUGACUUGACCUGAUCCGACUGAUUUUUGUCACAUAAUCUCCGUUUGGUCUAGCAAAGAAGGGGUUCGACCUCAUCCUCUUAUCGAAGAGGUUCGAUCUCAUCAUCUGUUCUAAAAGUACGUGUUCGGAUGCAACUUUAUGAUUCCGCUACGUAAUUACUAUAUCGAUCAAUUCGCUAGCUCAAAUCUUAAAGCGACACAAACGACGGUGAUCCUCGUCUUACUCUCAUGCCAAGGACACGAGAACUUAUCGGGCUAAAGCCCCUUGACCCGAACCCGACCCGAGCAGCUCCACUUGUUAACCCAAAUUGGUGGCAUUAAACCGGUCGAGUCCGAAUCGGGUCGGGUCGGGUCGGAUCGAGCCAAUGUGUUUGACAUUGAGACACAAUCGAGUUCACUGGACCAUGCACAACCAUAAUAGGAGUUGAAUGUUCCUUUAGUUUGAUUGGUACCGUUCAUUUUCGAGUGUGUGAUCUACCGACAUUUUUAAUAAUAAUAAUAAUAAUAAAGAAUAUAUAUUAGGCGACAAAUAUGCUACAUUUUACUUAUGAUCCUCAAAAUAUAAUACACAUGAUAUUUUGGUCCGCAAAUUUUAACUUGGUUGUAAUUUUUUAUUCGAACUUUCUUAAUUCUUACAAUCAAGUGUUGCAGUACGUAUUAAUGUGAUUAAUGAUGCGACGACAAUUAAGAUGUCAUAUUAUUUUUACAUUAGCGAUACUUUAAUAUUAAGUUUGCUAAAUUGAAUUGUGAAAUUUAAUUACAAUACUUUACAAAAAUUUAAAUUAAAAAUUAUAAUAUAUUAAAGUUUGAGAAUUAAAAUGUGGAGCUUUUUAUAUUUUAAAUACCAAAAAAGUGUUUUAAUCAUGUGUUGCAGUGUUAAUAUGAUUAAUGACGUGACGACAAUUAAAAUGUCAUAUUACUGUUUCACAUGGGCGAUAUCUCAACAUUAAGUCUGUUUACUGAAUUGUGAAAUUUAAUUACAAUAGUUUAUAAAGAUUUAAACCAAAAUUUAUAGUAUAUUAAAAUUUAAAAAUUAAAGUGUGAAGCUUUUUAUAUUUUAAGUGCCAAAAGUGUGUUUUAAGGUUUAACCCACACUUAUCAUUUUGACUAAAUUACAUAGCGUGUUUGGUUCGAAGUCGGAGUCGGAAUCGGAAUCGGAAUCAAAAUAAGCUGGAAUCGAAAUCGGAAUGACUCAUUACCUAAUUCCGUUUGGUUCAUCACCUGAAUCGGAAUCGGAAUAAAUCAUUCCCAUUGUUGGUGUUUGGUUCAAGUGGAUAUAAAAAAAAUAAUCAAAUUAAUAUACUAACAUNAUUAUCUUUAUAAUAUAUUAAUUUAAAUUCAAAUUCAUAAGUUAGAUUCGAAAUACUUGAUUAAAUUUUAAUUUUUAAUUUAAGUUCAAAUUAAAAUUUAAAAUUAUAUAUUUAAUUUUUAAAUUUUAACUCAUAUUUUAAUUAAAAAAGUUGAAAAAAUAAAUUUAAUCUGAAUAAAUAUCAAUUCCGUCCGGAUUCAACUUCCAAUCCGGCAUCCUAGGCCGGAUUGAAAAAAAGGGUGAUUGGGGAAUUCCCAUUCCACUCGGGAAUUGGAAUCGGAAUGGGACUCUCGCGUACCAAACACCCACAAACGGAUUCACCCAUUCCGAUUCCGAUUUCAUAAUAAAAAAGAAGCGAACCAAACACACCCAAAAUGUUCACAGGGGAGUGCGGUGUGAACUAUGAUGAUAAAAUGAUCAUUUUACUUCUCAUCAUUUUCGUCUUCUCCCUCAUCUUGCUCAUCCGCCGCCUCGAUCGGCUGCGGUUCGGGCCUCGAUCACCCGCAGUUCCUCUCCAUUUUCUUCUCCAUCUGCUCCCCUUCUCCUCUGCACCCUCGUCGCCCCUCCAUUUCAGCGACAGUAGGAAGAAAAUCGAGUUGGGCGUGGAUGGAAAAGUGGGCAAGGCUAGGUAACGAGGGUGAAGGCGAGGCGACGGAAGAGGACGAUGGGGUGUUUGUAUGCGUGGACGGAGAUGUGGGCGAGGACGAGGCAGUGGAGGAGGGCGAGGCGGCAAGGCGGAGGAGGGCGAAGCACAGUACAUAGGGCGGAGGGUAUUUUUGGCAUAAAAAAUAUUUUAUAACGGAAUCCUAACGGAUCACUAACAAUAGGAGGUGAAGUGAAUAUUUUUUAUUUUACAAGAAGGUAAAAUAUAGAUUUUUAAAUGACAGAAAAAAAAAAGUAAAAAUUGACAGAAAGGGUAUAUGUAAUUUAGCCUAUAACGUUAUUUUAACUUUUGUAAUUCCAAGCAUAUGUACUUUGCUACAGGGCCAAGAUAAGAAUAUUUAAUUGCAGCUUUUGAGGACAAAUUCCCAUCAUUCUUUUACCCUUUUUCUUUUUGGAUAAAUUAAAUUUGCGGAUGGAAUGCAUAAAAAGUCCCUUCACUAAUGUAUAUUAGGAAUGGAUAAAGUAUUAAAAUAUAAACUUUAGUUUAAUUAACUAAUUUAAGGAAAAUGAUUGAUUUAGAUGCUAAUUAACUAAACAUAUUGAAAUAUAUGUUUCUCUGUACGUAAGAAACAUUGCAUAACUUUUUCUCGCCACUAAAGUUGGGGGAUUCAAAUUAUAACUUUUACUUUUUAAUUUCAAAAUUAUAUUUUGACAACUUAUUGUUACGUCGAAUAAUUCGGACUUUUUAAAUUAUUGAGUCACUAUUAUGAAAUAUAUAUAGAGAGAGAGAGUUAGACUGUUAUACUAUCGAUAACACGAAGGCCUCCAUAUUAUUAGGUUGUUUUCAAUAAUACGGCUUUCAAAUCAAAGAUCGGUCCGUUAGACUUGAUCUAUACUGUUGAAAUUAUUUAAAAACUAAAUUUCAUAGUUUUUCAACAUUAUUUAGCUAGUGAUUAAGAUGUUUCAAAAUUAACACUUUUAAUUGUUGAUGUUAUACGUUUGUAAAUUUAACAGUGUAAAACAAAACAAAUCUGAUAAAAUUUUUAUAAAAAAUUAUUUUCACUAUUUAGAGUAAAAUUAGUAAAUCCGUUCUUAAAUUUAAAUUUUUUAUCAUCAUUUUUAUGAGAUUUGUAUUUUCAGCCGUUUAUUUUUAGAUUGCUCGUUUGAUAGGUAAAUGAUAUCGAAAAACUAUUAAAUUUAGUUUUCAAAUGCUUUCAAUAAUGUAGAUCAAAUCUAACGAAACUGAUCGUCGAUUUGGAAGCUGUAUCAUUGAAAAUAAUUUGAUAGCACGGAGGUCUAUGUGAUAUCGAUAAUAUACCAGCCGGACUCUUAUAAUUAAUUAAACACCUGGUGAUCAUCAUACAUAGGGCCUACUAAAGUGAUCAUCAUAAUCACUAAUUAGAUAUUUAGAAUCACGAGGCCUCUCUUUAAACUUUAAUAAUUGUUGCUUUUUGGUGCCAUGGAAUAGAUGUCUCCAAAAUCCCAGUAGUUGUCCUGUGAAGUAAGGUAUAGCUUAGCUUUUUCAUUGUAUUUGUUAUCCAAAAGAUAUAUUUAUGAAUAUCUUGUUCGGCAUAUCCAUUUUGUUUACCGGAGUGAAAUGCAAGGUACUCGAUACCCGAGAAAGUAUAUGUGGCCUCCUAAAUUAUAUUUUAAGAUAUUUAAGAUAUUCUGUUGGCUUAAAAGGGUCAACAUUCUGUCAUAUGGCGGUAUGCCAGAUUGGACCGAGUCAUGUUUGAAAAUCCAACUGAGUCAUGUUUGAAAUGGCGUGGGAUCGGAUUGGAUCGAAUCAUAUUCGAAGUGGUAAGAGGCUGGUUGGACGGAGUUACAAUCGAGACCCGUAAAUACUGUGUUUGUACGCUUUAAGAGGCCGUUUCGUUAGAUGUGAUAUCAAAUGCAGUGUAGUUAAAAAUAUACGCAGUUAAAAAUGCAAGAAUUACAACUACAUACAUCCUGUUUGGUUGGAUGUAGUAAAAAGUACUGCAACUAUAAAUAAUUUGUUUGAUUGCAUACAGUUAAGAAAUAAUUUUUAAAAUUUUAUCAUUUUAUAUAUAUGAUAGUGAGAUUAUCUCCAAUAUAAAAAUAUAUAUAUUUUUAUUUAAAAUAUAAUUAGGGACGUAAACUUAUCUGUUGUUUAAAGUUACUCCUUUCAACUACUGCAGUUGGAACCACAGUCAAUUUGAGCGUAGUUCCAACUGUUGUAGUUGGGCCUCUUCCUAUAGUUUUUCCUACAGCAGUUGAAGUUAAAAAUAUCAUAUACCAAAUGUUGAAUAUGUAUUUGCAUAUAGCUGCACCUGCAGUGCAAUUGCAACUACAUGCAACCAAACGAUUGCAUCUUUCUAACGGCUUGAGUUUUAGGGAUUAAUUAUUAAUAGCUGGCGCCCAAUGAUCCGACAAAAUCAUCACCCCGAUCCGAAUGCGUUAUGCUCAGAAGUAAUAACUGUCGGUGUACUGUAAUGAACAAACUAAAAGCAAAGCGAUUCAAAGAUAAUCUUAAAUGGUGUACUUUUUCACUCUAUAUAAAGCCCAUGUAAGAAGCCCCAGAUGACAAAGUGCAGAAACCAAGCAGUUCUCUUCUUUCAACUCUAGUUGCAUUGCAGUGCUGCAGGUUUAAGCAGUGAGCAUGGCAUCUUUCGCCGCGGGGAUGGCGGCGCCGAUAAGGGGCGAGCGGCACCUCUUCUCGGCGUCGGACGACAGCGCGAUCAUCAAGCAGAUCCUGGCGACGCACACCCCCGACGGCCGCGAAGUCGACGCCAGGCCGCUCCUGCAAGUGGUCGAGGACGUUCUGCAGCGCGCCACUCCGACCGUCGUCGUGGUAAGAUCAACUGUAAACCAAGAUGUCUUAGGUUCGUUUGGACCGGUCGGAUCGUAAACUAGUCCUAGCCUAGGCCAAGUCACAUUUUUGAAUUCGAUUUGGUCGAAAACCGCAAAAUGUCGGUUAAUCAUUAUUCAACCACUCAACCCAGUUUUGACCUAACGUACAAUGAUUCAUUAAAUCUGAUCACUAUAUAUAUAUAUAUAUAUAUAUAUUAGUAAAUUAAUAAUUUAAAGUAAAAAUAUAUAGAAUUUAUCUGAACUAUGGAUCAUAUUGAGUCUACUAUUCGACCUUUCAAAAAUUUAAUUCUUACUAUUCAAUAUUUCAAUUUAUUUGUGAUAAAUUGGACAACGGCAUUCUGACUUUAAAAUUUAAGCUAAAACUUUUACUUUAAUGAAUUUACAGUUGCGAGAACUGUGUUGAAUCUAAAAUAUAUAAACGCCGCUCUCUGUUAGCUUAAGUUUUUAAGAGUGCAAUAGUUAUUUCGUAUUCUUUAACAAAUUGCAUGAAAUAUAUUAACAUAAAUUAAAUCUGUAAACAUAAAUGCCGCAUUCAAACUUCAAAGCGAAAGUGCUAUUUAUCGUCUGGAAUCAAAUAAAUGAAAAGAUUGGUUUAAAUUGUCGGAUUGUCGAUUCAAAACGGUUCAUACUUCACAUAAGUUAUGUGUGUAAAAUAUGUAUUAGAAUAUUGUAUUAAUUUCCAUAUAUAACUGACCGUCCCUAACUCGGUUGGUAACCGAGAUCCCAAGUUCGAAUCCUAAUUGAUUCACAUUUCCAGCUAAGUUUAUUUCUAAAUAAAAUAAACGAAGCAGAUAGCAUAUGCUAAGUACCUAUCUAUCAAAAAAAAAAAAAUCCCAAUAUAUGGAUUUUAACAUAAUUUUAUCUAUAUUUGGAUUUAUGAUUACUAGAGCCACCACUCUCUGAUCAAGUAGUAGAAGAGAAGGCCCACCAGUAGAGACCGUUGGAAUGCUCGAGGCCUUAGCAUACACCAUCCAUAAAUCUCCUGCGAGUAAUUUUUUUAAAAAAAAAAUUAAUGUUUAUAUAUUCAUGUACAAAUGUUAUAACUUUUAGAUAUAUCCAUGUAUAUAGCACUUUUUACUAAUUCCUUUUUACUACUAUAAUUACUUCUCUAUUCAUGAAUUGACAAAAAAUAAGUGGACGUAGUAUUACUCAUAUUAAUAUUCCUUCGCCAUUCAUUUAUCUUCAUUUCCAACAAAAUAGACCAUCAAUUCAUUGUUUUUAGCGGCUCUUGAGAUUUGCGUGUUUCAUGUGGGACGAUGAUUGAUGGUAUGUAUCCAUUGAUGUUAUUAUCUAAAAAAUGUAGUUUUUUGAGAAAAUCUAAAAGGUAAGUUGAUAGAGAUAUACGACCGCUUCAUAUAAUAUUUAUAUAUAUAUAUAUAUAGAGAGAGAGAGAGAGAGAGAAGAGAGAGAAGAGAGAGACUACUAUGCUAUCGAAAGCAACGGAGCCUUCCGUGCUUCCAGCUUAUUUUCGAUGUUGCGACUUUUGAAUCGUCGAUCGCUUCGUUAAAUUUGAUCUAGAGUAUUUGGAGUACCUAGAAAAUAAAUUUUAUUAUUUUUCGUUAUCAUUUGCCUAGUGAUCGAGAUGGGCUCAAAAUUACAAAAUUUCAAUGGGCCAUAGUGACGCCGUUUGCAAGUUAAACGUGUAGAAUAUCCAAAUCACGUGAAAUUUGAUAGAAAAUUCUUUAUACUAUAUAAAACAAGAUCAAUAUCUUUGAUUUAAAAUUUUAAUGUCAUAUUAUUACAUUUAUAGAUUUUUAUUUUCAGCCGUUGAUUUUGAGCCCAUUCGUUCACUAGGCAAAUGAUAUGUAAAAUCAUAAAUUUAUAUUUAAGUACUUCAAAUACUCUAAUCAAGUUUAACGGAGCCGAUGCGAUUGAAAGUCGCAACAUCGAACCGAGCUGAAAGCACGAAGGCUCCGUGCUUUCGAUCAGCAUACGUAGCUCUCACACUCUCUUCCUCUCUUCUCUCUCUCUCUCUCUCUCCUCUCUCUCUCCUCUGUCUAUAUAUAUAUAUAUAUAUAGAUUUAGGCUACUAUGCUAUUAAUAGCACCAAGUCAUUGGUGCUACCAAGUUUUUGGCCAUUGGAUUAAGAGAUGUGUGGUUAGGAUAAUGUGGGCCCCCUAUAGUUGAGUGGAUAGUUGGUUGAAUAGUAUGAUCUAAUGGGUGUAAAUGAUCAAAAGGAUAGAUCUAACGGCGGAAAAUUUGAUAGCACCAAGUGUUUCGUGCUAUUAAUAGUAUAGUAGCCGGACUCUAUAUAUAUAUAUAUAUAUAUAUAUAUAUAUAUAUAUAUAUAGUGUCAAUGCGUGAUGUUUUAAGUGAGGAGAAGUAUCUAGUACAGUAGCUUAAGCGUUAGAGAAAAAGCAUCUCAUUUUGCGUGGAAUGAUUAUUACAGAUUACGUGCAAGUGUUCGGGUGGCAGCGACGCGCACGCAAUAACUCUGACUCUCUUCAACUCGCUCUCGAGCUACUCCUGGGACGCCAAAGUCGUCCUCGCACUCGCGGCGUUCGCGGUGAGCCACGGUGAGUUCUGGCUCACCGCGCAGCUCCACACGGUCAGUCCGCUCGCGAAGUCCAUCGCGCUGCUGAAGCAGCUCCCCGACAUUCUCGAGCAUACCGACAUUCUCAAGCCGCGAUUCGACGCCGUCAACAACCUCAUCAGGGCCAUGCUGGAUGUCACCAAGUGCAUCAUACAGUUCACAGAGCUUCCUUCUGAAUACAUCUCCGUCGACUCCCCCGACAUGUCGACGGCGAUGGCCCACAUCCCGACUGCGGUGUACUGGACCAUAAGAAGCAUCGUCGCUUGUGCUGCACAGAUCAUUGGGCUCAUAGGCCUCGGUCAUGAGUAAGCUUAAACUAUUAGAGAACGGUGUUUUACAUUUUACGUCAGACUUUUUUAUGAUUUUUUUUUUUUCGAUUUUUAGGUACAUAACCUCUACCACUGAGGCAUGGGAACUAUCAAGCCUAGCCCACAAAGUUAGCAAUAUUCAUGGCCAUCUCACAAAGCAACUCAACCUUUGUCAUCGAUACAUUGGUUUGGAAUAUUUUAUCUUAUACUUAUCUAUACAAUUAGAAAGAACGCUCGAUCAUUACUCACUAUUAUAUGAAACAAUUAUUUUUUUCUAAAAGUUUAAGCUGACAGAGAAUAAUAUUCUUAAUAUUUAUGUUCAACAUUUCCUUUUGUGUUUGCGCUUGAGACUAUGAAACAAGCAGCCUAGAGCUAGCACUCAAACUUAGAAUCUUCUGCUCUAAUAUUAUGUCAAAUGAUGUAAAAAAAUAACUAUCAGAGAACACUAUUUUUAGUAUGUUUAUAUUCAAAAUCUAUACACGGAAAUACAUAUGCAUGCAGAUGAGAAGAAGCAAGUUGAAUCGUACCAAAAUCUAGUGCGACUGUUCGACACGGUGCACAUCGACAACAUGAAGAUCCUUCGGGCAUUGGUCUCCUCGAAGGAAGACCAUACAAUUUUCGACGGCACGACCAAGCGAAGAGUUAGCAUCGACGUGUUGCGACGAAAGAUCGUGAUGCUAUACAUUUCCGACCUCAACAUCAGCAAUGAGGAGCUACUCAUGCUGGUCCAGAUUUACAAUGACAUCCACCACGGGAGACUGGAGCGGCACUACGAGAUUAUUUGGUUGCCGAUAACCGAUAAGCACGACCCAUGGGACGAAUCCAAGGACGCGACGUUCCACCGCCUGGUGUCGGUCAUGCCAUGGUACUCGGCGCACCAUCCUUCAUCGGUCGACCCCGUGGUGGCGAAAUACGUAAGGGAGAUGUGGCACUUCGAGAAGAAGCCCUUGUUGGUAGUGUUGGAUCCGCAAGGGAGGGUAGUCUGCCCUAAUGCACUCCACAUGAUAUGGAUAUGGGGAAGCCUGGCUUACCCCUUCACCAGCAGUAGGGAGGAGGCUCUUUGGAAGGAGGAGACUUGGCGACUUGAGUUCCUCAUCGACGAGAUCGAUCCCAUUCUGCUGAGCUCGGUAUUCAAAAUCUUUAACGGUCGAAAUUAAGCCAGUAAUAGUGACCAUAUUUAGUGAAUCUUCUAUUUACCAUCUAAUGUUAGCGUUUGUUCACGUCUUGAACAGAUUAAAGAAGGGAAAUACGUGUGCCUAUACGGAAGCGAGGACAUCGAGUGGAUACGGAAGUUCACGACGCUGAUGAGGCAUGCGUGCGAAGAAGUUGGGGUUCAGGUGGAGAUGGUGUAUGUCGGGAAGAGCAAUCCCAAGGAAAGGGUGCGGAAGGUGGUGGCAGCCAUUGCGGCAGAGAAGCUCAGCAGUUAUUGGGAGGACCUUGUCAUGAUCUGGUUCUUCUGGGUUCGGCUGGAGAGUAUGUGGCACUCUAAGAUACAACGCGGGAAGAGUGUUGACGAUGACCCUAUUAUGCAGGAGGUGAUAUCGAACACUCGUUUUUCUCUAAAAGCUAGAAACUACUAAAAACUCUGAAAAAAUUAUAAAUACUAAAAACACUGUCCAUGCGAACUCAUCUAUUGAAAAAAAAAAAGCCUAUAAUUUGGAGAAAAUCCAACCGUUCAUGUUAGGAGUACACACAUGCCAAUUUGGCUGUUCUCUUACUUUUCUUUUUCCUACUACAACUUAGCAUAGAGCUUCUGCUGUGGCGAAAAGUCGAUACGACUUUAGUGCUUCUCCUAGUAGAAAUACGGAAAUAUUUAUUAAACAGAAUUGCACAUUGAAUAGGUAAUGACGAUGUUGAGCUUUGACGGGAGCGAUGAAGGGUGGGCGGUGAUCAGUCGGGGGUCGUUCGAGAUGGUGAAGUCGGGAGGGAAGAAGCUCAUCGACUGCUUGGUGCAGUUCGAUGAGUGGAAGGCCAGUGUUGAGGGGGAGGACGGCUUCGUCCGAGCGCUCACGACGGCGCUGGUGCCGCACCAAACUCGCGAGCACUGCACACGCCUCAUCCUGCCGGUGGAUGCCCGCCGCAUACAGGAGCAGCUGGUGGUCUGCGCCGAGUGCAAGCGCCCCAUGGAGAAGUACGUGCUCUACCGCUGCUGCAACGACUAGUUACGGCUUAACCAGCAUUAAUAAUCUAGGCUCAGGUGAAUGACACACUAACAAAUUACUUUAGAAAAGCUCUAUAAUGACUGUGCAUGAUGGCAUGUAAAUGUGAUACACACCAUUAGCAUAGAGCCUUCACGAAAUAAUUUGUCAGUAUGUCGUUCACCUCACCCAAAAUAAUUUCUAGACCUCGUCUGAUAUAUAUCUUUUUUUUAUUUUUUUUCAAGUAGAAAUUUUAUGUGAAAGGAUUGGAGUGGAUUGUGAAUUGUUUGUCGUCUUUUAUGCGAGUGCUUGUGUGGCAAUAAAAUACAAAAACUUGGAAAUAAUUUUCUUUUUUUUCUCUCUUUUUUUUUCUAGCGUAUCUAUUUAGUUCCGUGUAAUUGCAACUGCAUUAUAAAUCUGAGUUACAUGUAGGUCAAUUUCAUUAUAUUACUAUUUAGCUUCUAUAUAUAGAACUAGAUUGCAAUACUAUCAAUAACACCAAGCUAUUGCUGCUAUUAGUUUUUAACUCUUGGAUUGAAAAAUGUACGGUUAGGAUGAUGUGGGCUCCCUAGGGUUGAGUGGGUGAUUGGUUGAAUAGUAUAAUAUAACAGAUAAAAAUAAUCAAAGAGUUAAAUUUGACGGUGGAAAACUCGAUAGCACCAAGCCGCUAUCGAUUGUAUCCCAGCCGGACUGUUUAUAUAUAUAGUUUUAAUAUUUUUUUUCUAAAUUUUAAAAAUAUUUUUUGAUAUCGGCAAUUUUCGAAGGGUUUUUACGUAAUUAGAGUUGGACAAGAGGGGUUAAUCCAAUUUUUAAAUUGAUUCCCAUGUGCAUUAGUCAAUGACCUAACUCCGUACUUCAUUUGGAGCAAAACUAUUUAAUUAAUCCCCAUUUUUCACGCACGCGAAGCAUUUUAGUCAACUAUUUAUUUGUAUUUGCAUGCCACAAUGGAAUUACUUGAAGUGUACAAGUUAAAAUAACCAUUAAAAAAUAAGCUCAAACAUUAAUUCCUUUAUAAUCCACUUAAUUAUAAAAAACAAUGCGUAGAGAUAAGUACUAGGUAGAAACAUAUAGAACUUAACUGAACUAUAGAUCAUUUUGAGUCAACUAUUUGAUUUUUUAAAAUUUUAAUUUUAUUUAUUAAAUAUUUCUGGUCGUUUGAUUUGAAUUGAAAGUACUAGGUAAAAAUGGACAGAAUUUAAUUAAGCUAUGGAUCAUUUUGAGUCGACUAUUCAAUUUCUUAAAAUUUUGAUUUCAUUUACUAAAUCUUUCAAUUUGUCUAAUUUGAAUUGAAAGUACUAGGUAAAUACGUACAGAAUUCAACUAUGGAUCAUUUCGAGUCUACUAUCCAAUUUUUUAAAGUUUCGAUUUUACUACUAAAUCUUUCAAUUCAUUUGAUUUGUUAAUUUCAAAUUUUAAAAUCAUUAAUUACUUUAAUAAAUUUAUAGCAGCCCGAAUUAUAUAAAAAUAUACUAGUUAAAUAUGUAAAAAUAAAGGAUAAACUUCAAAUAACCCCCAUGUGGUUUCACAUUUCUCACUUCCUCACUUUAGUACCCUGUGGUUUAAAGUGUAUUAAGUUUGCCAUUGUGAUUUCACACUUUCUCACUUUAGUACCCUGUGGUUUAAAGUGUAUCAAGUUAGUACCCUAUGGUGUUGCAUUUUUCUCUUUUUAUUAUCCAUUUCCCUAUUUUUUUUCGUUAAAUCAGUGACAAAGUUAAAAUUAAAGGAUACUAAAGUGAAUAUUCAAUAAGCCUAGGUAGGAUAUCUGAAGUUUUUUUUGUAUAUGAUUUAACGAAAUAUUAACGAAGGAAAAAAAUCAGUGACAAAGUUAAACUAAAAGUUAUUAAAGUAAAUAUUCGAUAAAUCUAGGUAAGAUAUCUGAAGUUUUUUAUAUAUAAUUUAACGAAAUAUUAACAAAGAAGCUGACGAAAAGAAAAAAAUAAAAUCACGGAGUACUAAGCUGUACUCAACAGGGACUAGGCCUAUAGGCCGCAACUGUAAACCUCUCUUGUUUCUCUAAACACAAAUAGGGUAUAUUCUUGUUUACUCAAAAAAAAGAAAUCACGGGGUACUAAAUUGAUGCACUUUAAACCACAUGAUACUAAAUUGAGAAAGUGCGAAAUCAUAGGGUACUAAAUUGAUACACUUUAAACUAUAGGAUACUAAAGUGAAAAAGUGCGAAAAUACAGGGGUGGUAUUUGAAGUUUUUCCAAAAAUAAAUGACGUGAUCAAAUAAUUAAAAAUUUUGAUAGUACAAUUAUUAAAAUCUUGAAAAAUUAGGCAGCUGAAUCAAAAUAAUUCAUAGCUCACAUAAGCAUUGCACAUUGUGGCCUAAUUUCUACUGUUCAAAUUGUACUCCAAUAUUCUCUGCGUCUUUACUCGAGAGGUACAGUGUAAUCUUUCAAUUGGUUUGAUUUGAAUUGGAAGUACGAGAUAAAAACGUACAAAAUUCAACUAUGGAUCAUUUCAAGUUCACUAUCCAAUUUUUUAAAGUUUUGAUUUUACUACUAAAUCUUUUAAUUCAUUUGAUUUGUGCCCGUCAACAGUAUGCUAACUUUAAAAUUUAUAGCAACACGAAUUAUAUAAAAAUACACUAGCUAAAUAUGUAAAACUAAUAAAUGACGUAAUCAAAUAAAUGAAAAUUUUGAUAGUAUAAUUAAAAUUUUGAAAGAAUAGGCAGUCGAAUCAAAAUAAUUCAUAACCCAUAUCAGUAUUGUACAUUGUGGCCUAAUUUCUACUCGAGAGUUGCCGUGUAAUCUUUUAAUUGGUUUGAUUUGAAUUGGAAGUGCUAGGUAAAAAUGUACAGAAUUCGACUAUGGAUCAUUUCAAGUUUACCAUCCAAUUUUUUAAAGUUUUUAUUUUACUACUAAAUCUUUCAAUUCAUUUGAUUCUUGUCAGUCGACGGUAUGCCGACUUUAAAAUUUAUAGCAACACGAAUUAUAUAAAAAUAUACUAGUUAAAUAUAUAAAACAAAUAAAUAACGUAAUUAAAUAAUUAAAAAUUUUGAUCGUAUUAACUAAAAUUUUGAAAGAUUAGGCAGCUGAAUCAAAAUAAUUCAUAGUUCAGAUAAGUGUUGCACAAUGUGGCCUAAUUUUUAUUGAUAAGUGUUGCACAAAUUGUACUCUAAUAUUCUCUGCGUCUUUACUCAAGAGGUGCCGUGGACCGCACGGCACCUUAACCGUUAAAUAUGUACAUAAACUUUCCCAAAUUUUUUUCAUCUAAGCUUUCGAUCACUAUUAUUACUAAUAUUAUCUUUCCCUAGCUAUUCUCUCUAAACAAUGGAGCUAUUUAAUUCCCCUGUAAUUCUAUUACUGCUGAUCAUCAUCUCCUCCCAUCUUAUUCUGCUUCAACACAGUACUGUCACAGCUCUUGAUCAUUCCUUGCAACCCAAAGAGGAGCACAAACAACUCAAAGGUUUUUAGAUCAAUUAAUAUCUCUCUCUCUCUCUCUCUCUCUCUCUCUCUCUCUCUCUCUCUCUCUAUUUUAUCUUGGUUUUUUGUUUUCUUAUCUCUCUCUAUAUUUCUUGUUGUUAAUUUGCUAUGUUAUUAGUAUUGAGUUACUGAUUAAUUUGUUGCGCUUUCUUAGCUAAGUUUUCUUCUUUUUAAAAGCAGAAUUAGAAGCUCUAAUUUAAAAUUUUUGUUUCUUAUCAUUACAGAAGCACCAAACUGUUUGACAAAAGUUCUGCAACAAGAGAAUUUCAAACUAAAACUUUUGUAUUUGAAUAGCAGUGAGAAUUUUAGGCACAAACUUGAUAAGAUUAUCAAAGGGUGAAAUCGAUACAACAUAAAUUUGUUUAACUAGAAAAUCACAAAACUUGACACGACACGACACGACAAAAAAAUAAGUCAAAUCGGCACAAGUAACACGAUUAUCAAACACGAGUACGAUUUGCGACUCUGAAUUGAUUUUUUCGAAUAUUCAUAAACUUAUUUUAGCUUUCUGUCACAAUAGAAAGUUUGGAUUUUUUUUUUUUUUUUUGGUUAAAAUCCUCUAGUAAUGAUUGUUGCAGCUUUCUGUUGCAGUAGAAACUCUGUACUUUUCUGCGCGUCAAAUGCUUUACUAAAAACUGAGGUAGUGAGAUUUGGUUGUGCAGGUGAAGAUUUCAGUCCUUACCCUUUUCACCGCCGUCGCCGCCCCCGACCGCGGGGCGAGAUAUUCCACCCGCCGACCGGCCAGUGCGUGCUCCGGUCCUUAUAUAUUGUAUAUUUUAUAUUAAAAAUAGAUAUUUUGUUACGUUUUAAUCAAUAUUCGAUAGGUAAAGAUUUCUUAUAUUUAUUAUAAUAAUAAAAUAUUAUAAACUAAAGAGAGGCGGCGCUUCGUACGCGUAUGUGUAUGUUCAUACUGCAUGUACUCAUUGUGAGGACUGUGUGCCUGUGAAAAUAAUGAAAGCUUGUAUAUAUUUAAGUGUAAUGUAAUAAUAACCGCUAUGUGGCUUGACAUUCUUUUAAACUAGCCCUGCCAGGGUUGUACUACUCGGGCGAGGUAGUCGGCAGGUACGUUGAAACUCUAAGCAUGAUAGAUACAUUACGUGCUAACUACUUUGUCAGAGUACAACCUAUGACAGGGGGUGGUUUAAAAAUAAGGCGAUAUAACAAAAGGGCGAAUUGAAGGGCGUCAUCUUCGCUGAUGCAACAUGACAAACUAGUUGUAUUUGGUGACUCGUGGUCGGACUCCUAAGGGUCGAUGAGACGUGCCUAAUCUCUGCUAGUGUAAGAAGCUUAGCUGUAGGUUCGUUUGGUGCCAGGGCAGCGACUACUGGCAGCUCUCCACACAAGAGGCCUUGCCGCAGCCGUUGUGGCUGGUGACGCUCAGGCUGCCCAGCGUAUACUACGAGUCGACGUGCCCGACCGGGCGCGGCUGCCGGACGUCCGUCAUCAUGCAGGGGACGUGGCAGUCCUUAAAGACGCCGCACAUCAUGGUGCUCAGCCUGACGCUCGUGCCCGGCUCAAAGUCGACCAACCGCUCUAAGCUANNNNNNNNNUAACAAAAAAAAAAAAAAAAAAAAACAAAUUCAAAUAGCAAUUUUUUUUUUUAAUUUUGUUCUCACUUAUUACUCUAUUC